GACGAACGCUGGCGGCGUGCUUAACACAUGCAAGUCGAACGGAAGUAAAGAUUUCGGUUUUUACUUUAGUGGCGAACGGGUGAGUAACGCGUGAGGAACCUGCCUUUCAGUGGGGGACAACAGUUGGAAACGACUGCUAAUACCGCAUGAUACUAUUGAGUGGCAUCACUUGAUAGUCAAAGAUUUAUUGCUGAAAGAUGGCCUCGCGUCUGAUUAGCUAGUUGGUGGGGUAACGGCCCACCAAGGCGACGAUCAGUAGCCGGACUGAGAGGUUGACCGGCCACAUUGGGACUGAGAUACGGCCCAG
This 307-nucleotide ribosomal RNA is filed under the name uncultured bacterium. RNAcentral's name for it is "bacterial SSU rRNA". It matches the Rfam family "Bacterial small subunit ribosomal RNA", at positions 28 to 334 of the family's 1533-position model. The record is from RNAcentral.